UACGUAGGUCCCGAGCGUUGUCCGGAUUUAUUGGGCGUAAAGCGAGCGCAGGUGGUUUAUUAAGUCUGGUGUAAAAGGCAGUGGCUCAACCAUUGUAUGCAUUGGAAACUGGUAGACUUGAGUGCAGGAGAGGAGAGUGGAAUUCCAUGUGUAGCGGUGAAAUGCGUAGAUAUAUGGAGGAACAUCGGUGGCGAAAGCGGCUCUCUGGCCUGUAACUGACACUGAGGCUCGAAAGCGUGGGGAGCAAACAGG
RNAcentral lists this ribosomal RNA (252 nucleotides) under uncultured bacterium. RNAcentral's name for it is "partial 16S ribosomal RNA". It matches the Rfam family "Bacterial small subunit ribosomal RNA", at positions 524 to 776 of the family's 1533-position model. The record is from RNAcentral.